Molecule: long non-coding RNA, 1165 nt
Organism: Nomascus leucogenys (northern white-cheeked gibbon)
Lineage: Eukaryota; Metazoa; Chordata; Mammalia; Primates; Hylobatidae
Exons: 2
Source: RefSeq, a predicted model, not a curated record
GAGCCACCCCAGCCCCGUCUGUGACUCUCAGCUCCUGAGGCUGGGCUCUUCCCCAGGGAAGCUGCAUGACUGUGGCCACGUACAGGAGCCAGUGCCUGAACCUGCUGCAGCCCCGACCCCGCAGAGCAAGCGGCUCUGCUACCUCAGCCACGUAGCUGAUGGCAUCCUUCAGGUUCAGCUCGUGGAAGACAUUCAGGAUCCGGUCUCGAGACUUCUGGGCCGACCGUCUCAUGAGGACCCUGCUGAGGAACUUCGUGUCGAAGUGGGACCACCUGUAGGGACAGACCUCGGGUGUGAGCCUCAGGUGACAGGUGCCCUACAGCCCGCCGGACGCGUGGCCUGGCCCCUUCUCUCCUGAAUUUUAUUUGCUAUAGUGACCCUGUAGGCGCAUUUAAAAUGAGGGAAGCAGCCCCGCCACACGCCCAGGCCGGCCGCCGUUCUCCUGCCUGUCCUGUUGGAUGGAGGCCGCCUCCUCCAGAGGGUGGCUCAGGACAGGGUGGGCGUCAGGCCUGGUCGGGCAAGGGGGCUCCGGCCAUGUGGGGGUGACUUUCAGCUGCACAGGAGGAAAGGCAGGGGCGGACAGAUGCCCUGAGCCCUUAAGACCUGUGAGAGCCAAGCUGACCAGAAUGAGGUUUUUUUAGCCUAAUAGAAUUAGAGUAUUCACCGGUUAUCCGGAUCAGAAGGGACGGUGGCCUGGCCGGAUUUAGAGGAAACUCUGGGGCACAAGGAGGUGAUGCCUGUCACUCUUGGACAUGGGUGCAGCCGCCAGAGCCGCCGCCCGGGGCAUAGGGUAGGCCCGGGUGAGCUUGUGUGCUCACACCUGGGCAGGCCCCGUGGCAGCAAUGGCGGCUCUCCUGUACAGGCUGAGUUUCAGCCACACCAGGAAGUCAAAGCUAACUGAGGCCGUGGUUUCAGAGACCCCCGGGAUGGCCCCUGGGAGGCCAAGGAGUCGGGGACUGGGUACCUGGAGCAGAGUCACUGUGGCCACGGAGAACCGCAGCUGAGCUUCAUGAAGCCACGUGGCCACACCUCCCGGUGCCUUCACCCCCACCGAACACAGAUCGCUCAGAAAAUGGGAACCAGGGCAAAGUGUAUGUGCUACUUACUGGGCUUAUUAUAAGUGUCACAUGUUUUUUAUAAUAAAACAUAGGUGAUUUCACCUUAA